GCGGCUAUGGUCCAGUGGUAAGAUGUAGGCUUCCCAAGCCUAAGUUGCGGGUUCGAUUCCCGCUAGCCGCA
Molecule: transfer RNA, 71 nt
Filed under: Microcaldota archaeon
Lineage: Archaea; Nanobdellati; Microcaldota
Description: tRNA-Gly
Rfam family: tRNA
About the family: Transfer RNA (tRNA) molecules are approximately 80 nucleotides in length. Their secondary structure includes four short double-helical elements and three loops (D, anti-codon, and T loops).
Source: RNAcentral